Triticum dicoccoides is the source of this 1268-nucleotide long non-coding RNA. RefSeq lists it as uncharacterized. NCBI's taxonomy places the organism in Eukaryota, Viridiplantae, Streptophyta, Magnoliopsida, Poales, Poaceae. The record is from RefSeq and is a predicted model, not a curated record. The transcript has 6 exons.
CUCGCGCACGGGAACUCUGGUCCGUGGACCAGAUCGCUACUAGUCCAACCGAGCCAGGGAUCAGAUAGGUGUGCGGAGACGGAAGUGGAGGGCUGAGCCGUUUGUCCCUCUCCCCCCACCUCUGUCUCCGUUCUGAGUAGGUCCUUGCGGCAGCGCUCGUUCUGCCACGGCGAGCACGGGCAAAUGGAAGACGGUGGGGUUGAGUUCCUGCUUGAGGCCAUUGACAGGUUCCCAUUACGAGAGGAGUUCGCGGACAACCUCGAGCACCCAGAUCCGGUUCCCCCGGUCUUGUUGCCAAACAGCGGAGCCGGCCUUGCCGUUCCCGCGGACUCAAAUACUGGAUCUGGUUGCGCUCAACAGCUCGGCGGCGAUGGGAAUGAUAUGGCAGGAGUUCGAGUUCGCCGUCUCGCGGAUGCAUCACCGACGAGGUCGGCCCAGUCUACUGACAGAGUCAAUCCAGAGGCACCUGGGAGGACAAAAAAGGUUAUGGUUGGGCAGUGAGCCACCAGAUGACGAUGGACUCAAAAGUCAUGGGCUAUAGAGUUGAUUGGCUAAAGAAGUUCAUGUUCCUGGUGCAUUUCAUGGAUUGCUGGUCAUUAUAUAUCCUGGAUACCGAGAAGAUUAUGAUGGUGCUUGACCCAACGGAGACAGAUCCAUUGGAUGAGAUGAAAAUCAAACAUUUGGAUGAGAUGAAAAUGAAACAUGGGCCGCUAGCAAGGAAGUUUCAGCAGAAGUUAUGCACCCUAUUCAGUAUUCAGUGACAUGUUCGGAGCCGGUUUGGUUGAGACCACUGGAUGGUCGUUUGUGUACCCUUUGGUGGCGCAGCACGAGCCAUGCAUUAGGCGUGUGGAAGACAGUGGCGUAUAUGUCGCUCACUACGUCCUGGAGUUCACCAGUCUAUACCUUCGAUCAACUAUAACCCAGGUCAGAUCGAGCACCUACACAAGAAGAUUGCAUACGAGAUAGUGACCAUGAAGGGGAACAAGGGAGAUACCCCGGAGUUCCUGUCCGAGGAGAUCAUUGACUGACGAGAAAGACAUUAGCAUUCCAGUCUGCAUGCAAUUUUGGCUGUGCGUGUACUUAUCGUUAGAUGGGCAUGUUUAAGUUUUAGUGUUAUUUUGCAUCAGAAAACCCUACGAGCAUUGUGCAUAUGGAAAGCUUUGGGCAUGGGAUUCCUAAUGGAGAUCUAAUUAGAGUAAUUUGAACUACAUACGUGUUAGAGAUUAUGUGAACAUAUGACGAUCUGUCUGAAUUUAAAUAUGCUGCAA